This 465-nucleotide ribosomal RNA is filed under the name uncultured Klebsiella sp. RNAcentral describes it as "bacterial SSU rRNA". It matches the Rfam family "Bacterial small subunit ribosomal RNA", at positions 338 to 795 of the family's 1533-position model. The record is from RNAcentral. Lineage: Bacteria; Pseudomonadati; Pseudomonadota; Gammaproteobacteria; Enterobacterales; Enterobacteriaceae.
CCUACGGGAGGCAGCAGUGGGGAAUAUUGCACAAUGGGCGCAAGCCUGAUGCAGCCAUGCCGCGUGUGUGAAGAAGGCCUUCGGGUUGUAAAGCACUUUCAGCGGGGAGGAAGGCGGUGAGGUUAAUAACCUCAUCGAUUGACGUUACCCGCAGAAGAAGCACCGGCUAACUCCGUGCCAGCAGCCGCGGUAAUACGGAGGGUGCAAGCGUUAAUCGGAAUUACUGGGCGUAAAGCGCACGCAGGCGGUCUGUCAAGUCGGAUGUGAAAUCCCCGGGCUCAACCUGGGAACUGCAUUCGAAACUGGCAGGCGAGAGUCUUGUAGAGGGGGGUAGAAUUCCAGGUGUAGCGGUGAAAUGCGUAGAGAUCUGGAGGAAUACCGGUGGCGAAGGCGGCCCCCUGGACAAAGACUGACGCUCAGGUGCGAAAGCGUGGGGAGCAAACAGGAUUAGAUACCCUAGUAGUC